This is a long non-coding RNA of Leopardus geoffroyi (Geoffroy's cat), 1009 nucleotides long. RefSeq lists it as uncharacterized. NCBI's taxonomy places the organism in Eukaryota, Metazoa, Chordata, Mammalia, Carnivora, Felidae. The record is from RefSeq and is a predicted model, not a curated record. The transcript is spliced from 2 exons.
GGCCUUGAUGCCCUCUACCCACAAUGAAGUCAGAAAGCAGAAUCAAUAAGAAGGGAUAUCAAACUGAUUUUUCUCCUAAAUAAGAUCACCUGUGUGGCUUAUCUCAUGCAAGGGAAAAACCAAGACAAGAAGGAGAAAGGGAUCCAUGGUGUUGAGCCCUGCCUGCUUGGACACUGGGGCCCACCGCUGUUAUUAACCAAGGAGCUGAGUGGCCUGAAGAAUCCCUUAGAGGUGCAGCUCCGGAAGAAAUCCGCCCUGCUGCACAGGGAAAGCUUGAAGACUGCUGCAAACCCAAGGCCACGGUGGGCCUGGGAGGAGAGGGAAGCGAGUACUGGUGCCAGUAGGUGAAAUGACUACAGACUGGGAACACUGAGGUGCUGUGUACUGGGCCUGAGGAUGACCUGGAGGGCAGAGCACCUGGGGCCCUGCCACAAAUGAGGUUUCAGGUUCAGGUCACUAUCACCUCGACACAGCUUAGUCUGGGUCUCCGGCCCUGGGAUAGAAGAGUACUGAGCAGUACUUGGUAUUUUUUCUUUCUACAUUUUAUUAUUUCAAACCAGGUGAACAAUUCCAUAAAACAUGUGAAAAAAGCAAGGAAGUGUUCAACGCUGAAGGACCCGGGCCUGGGGCAAGGGCACGAGGGGCAUGGCCCUCAGCAGGCAGCGGCGGUUCCUAGGUUAGCGCUAAGGAGCUACAUUUAGGUUAAUGGAGCCAGGGCCCAGGGCCACUGGGACGGGGCCCUCAGUGAUGUUGGCAGUUGUCUGGAACAGCCCUUGGAACCCAGUUCUGUGGAGGGCAGGGCAGAUGUGCCGCCCGCACGGGGUAGGGGAGGGGCAGCCAGCAGAGGGAUGGGUGUAAACACGCAGACACACUCAAGGCACGGAAUCACUGGAAGGGGGCUGGGUGGGCGCUGGUCAGGAUCUGACAGUUUUAAAUAGUUUUUCUCUAAAAAGUUUUCUAGGUUUGCAGUUUUUUUUUUUUUUUUUCCUUUACUUUCAUUUUUUUUUUU